Molecule: ribosomal RNA, 497 nt
Filed under: uncultured bacterium
Lineage: Bacteria
Description: partial 16S ribosomal RNA
Rfam family: Bacterial small subunit ribosomal RNA
Source: RNAcentral
GAUGAACGCUGGCGGCGUGCCUAAUACAUGCAAGUCGAGCGAACAGACGAGGACCUUGCUCCUCUGACGUUAGCGGCGGACGGGUGAGUAACACGUGGAUAACCUACCUAUAAGACUGGGAUAACUUCGGGAAACCGGAGCUAAUACCGGAUAAUAUAUUGAACCGCAUUGUUCAAUAGUGAAAGUCGGUUAUGCUGUCACUUAUAGAUGGAUCCGCGCCGCAUUAGCUAGUUGGUAAGGUAAGGGCUUACCAAGGCAACGAUGCGUAGCCGACCUGAGCGGGUGAUCGGCAAAACUGGAACGGGAACACGGUCCAGACUCCUCCGGGAGGCAGCAGUAGGGAACUUUGCGCAAUGGGCGAAGGCCUGCCGGAGCAACGCGGCGUGAGUGAUGAAGGUCUUCGGAUCGUAAAACUCUGUUAUUAGGAAAGAAAAAAUGUGUAAGUAACUAUGCACGUCUUGACGGUACCUAAUCAGAAAGCCACGGCUAACUACGUG